CCUACGGGUGGCAGCAGUGAGGAAUAUUGGUCAAUGGGCGGAAGCCUGAACCAGCCAAGUCGCGUGAGGGAUUAAGGCCCUGCGGGUCGUAAACCUCUUUUGCCGGGGAGCAGAGGUCCGGACGUGUCCGGGCCGGGCGAGUACCCGGAGAAAAAGCAUCGGCUAACUCCGUGCCAGCAGCCGCGGUGAUACGGAGGGUGCGAGCGUUAUCCGGAUUUAUUGGGUUUAAAGGGUGCGUAGGCGGGCAUUUAAGCCGGGGGUCAAAUGUCGGGGCGCAACCCCGGCCUGCCGUCGGAACUGGGUGCCUUGAGUGGGCGGGAAGGAUGCGGAAUGCGUAGGGUAGCGGUGAAAUGCAGAGAUAACACGGAGAACCCCGAUUGCGAAGGGAGCAUACCGGCGCCCUACUGACGCUGAGGCACGAAAGUGGGGGUAUCGAACAGGAUUAGAUACCCCUGUAAGUC
RNAcentral lists this ribosomal RNA (461 nucleotides) under uncultured bacterium. RNAcentral describes it as "partial 16S ribosomal RNA". It matches the Rfam family "Bacterial small subunit ribosomal RNA", at positions 338 to 795 of the family's 1533-position model. The record is from RNAcentral.